This 562-nucleotide ribosomal RNA is filed under the name uncultured bacterium. RNAcentral describes it as "partial 16S ribosomal RNA". It matches the Rfam family "Bacterial small subunit ribosomal RNA", at positions 355 to 912 of the family's 1533-position model. The record is from RNAcentral.
UGGGGAAUUUUGGACAAUGGGCGAAAGCCUGAUCCAGCAAUGCCGCGUGUGUGAAGAAGGCCUUCGGGUUGUAAAGCACUUUUGUCCGGAAAGAAAUCCUUGGCUCUAAUACAGUCGGGGGAUGACGGUACCGGAAGAAUAAGCACCGGCUAACUACGUGCCAGCAGCCGCGGUAAUACGUAGGGUGCAAGCGUUAAUCGGAAUUACUGGGCGUAAAGCGUGCGCAGGCGGUUUGCUAAGACCGAUGUGAAAUCCCCGGGCUCAACCUGGGAACUGCAUUGGUGACUGGCAGGCUAGAGUAUGGCAGAGGGGGGUAGAAUUCCACGUGUAGCAGUGAAAUGCGUAGAGAUGUGGAGGAAUACCGAUGGCGAAGGCAGCCCCCUGGGCCAAUACUGACGCUCAUGCACGAAAGCGUGGGGAGCAAACAGGAUUAGAUACCCUGGUAGUCCACGCCCUAAACGAUGUCACUAGUUGUUGGGGAUUCAUUUCUUAGUAACGUAGCUAACGCGUGAAGUUGACCGCCUGGGGAGUACGGUCGCAAGAUUAAAACUUAAAGGAAUUG